RNAcentral lists this ribosomal RNA (253 nucleotides) under uncultured bacterium. Its description in RNAcentral is "partial 16S ribosomal RNA". It matches the Rfam family "Bacterial small subunit ribosomal RNA", at positions 524 to 776 of the family's 1533-position model. The record is from RNAcentral.
UACGUAGGGUGCGAGCGUUGUCCGGAAUUAUUGGGCGUAAAGAGCUCGUAGGCGGCCUGUCGCGUCGGUUGUGAAAGCCCGGGGCUCAACCCCGGGUCUGCAGUCGAUACGGGCAGGCUAGAGUUCGGUAGGGGAGAUCGGAAUUCCUGGUGUAGCGGUGAAAUGCGCAGAUAUCAGGAGGAACACCGGUGGCGAAGGCGGAUCUCUGGGCCGAUACUGACGCUGAGGAGCGAAAGCGUGGGGAGCGAACAGG